This 1162-nucleotide long non-coding RNA is filed under the name Oryctolagus cuniculus (rabbit). RNAcentral describes it as "lncRNA (ENSOCUG00000035703.1)". The record is from RNAcentral. Lineage: Eukaryota; Metazoa; Chordata; Mammalia; Lagomorpha; Leporidae.
AUGUGGAAUGCAGCCAGCAUGCCAGCCCGCUGGAGUCUUUCUUCCGUGAACUUUCUGAAGUACCCCUGUAGAAGCGUCCAUCUUCCUCACCACCGACUUCCUUCUGUGCUGGGCGUUCAGCACAAGGACUGGCACACAGCAGGUGCACGGCACGACUUGGCGCCUCACUCCGCCUACAGAGCUCUUUCCAUCCACGCCUUGGUCUUUCUCUCCGUAUCCUGGCAUUUUUCUCAGUUGUUCCCUCGUGAGGACAAGGUUGAUUUAUCACCAGUGUCAAUGCUGUCCCUUCCCGGAAGUUCUCGGCUUCUGCAGGACAGGGACUACCUCCUACUUCACCCAGUCUCCCCUUGCUGGGAAAACAGUCGGCACUCUUGAGCACCUGUAAUUGUCCGGAGAGACACAAACACUUCAUUCACACAAAUAGAAAUCCUCUGGCUCCCCCCGCAACACCACUGUUUCUAUUUUGUCCCCUUCUAAGUCAGGCUCAUUUCACCCAAGCCAUCUAAGCUAUCUCACGCCGUAGCACCAGAUACAAUUAUACAUGGAGGCAAGAAAUUUCUAUUUUGGUCCCCAGAAAAUUAUGUGAUUUUGCUUAAGUUCAAUUUUAAAACAUGGAAUAUGACUGAACUUAAUGUUAGUACUUAAGAAAAAUGUUCACAGUAAUUACAGCUGAGGAUACAUAUAUGCAAUUUAUUUCAAAUUUAGUAAUACAAAAAAAUUCUGGAUCCUAACAUAACUAUUUAUAACUUGGCCAGGAGAACUCUGAGAAUCCCAGUUAUUUCGCCAGAAUAGGUUAUUCUUCAUGUAUCUUAUUUAAGCAAUAACGCGUGACAGAGUGUGAAUUAUGGCAUAUUAAUUCUCACCUAGUGUGCUAUUAGGCUAACGUUGACGGCCGAGAGCUGUCAGUGCAACUAGGCAUGAAUUAAUAUCUAAUAAUUCCCCUGCCGAAAUGUCUUAUUGAGAUUAUAGCAUUUUUAUUAGUAAAGGUUAUUCCUUUGAAAAUGUUUUUGUGUGCUCUUUGGGGGAAGAGGCUCAGCAUGGCUAAGGGUUACCCACUUUCCCAGCAGCCAUCUCGUGAACUUCUCUUUGACCGUCCCCCCCAACCCCCCCAACACUUGACCCUUGUGGCCACACAAAUAUCGUCUUUUGGAAGUGAUCUCAG